This 1340-nucleotide ribosomal RNA is filed under the name uncultured bacterium. Its description in RNAcentral is "partial 16S ribosomal RNA". It matches the Rfam family "Bacterial small subunit ribosomal RNA", at positions 28 to 1381 of the family's 1533-position model. The record is from RNAcentral.
GACGAACGCUGGCGGCGUGCUUAACACAUGCAAGUCGAACGGUAAGGCUCCAGCUUGCUGGGGUACACGAGUGGCGAACGGGUGAGUAACACGUGGGUGACCUGCCCUGCACUUCGGGAUAAGCCUGGGGAACUGGGUCUAAUACCGGAUAGGACCGCACCGUGAGGGUGUGGUGGAAAGUUUUUUCGGUGUGGGAUGGGCCCGCGGCCUAUCAGCUUGUUGGUGGGGUAAUGGCCUACCAAGGCGGCGACGGGUAGCCGGCCUGAGAGGGUGGACGGCCACAUUGGGACUGAGACACGGCCCAGACUCCUACGGGAGGCAGCAGUGGGGAAUAUUGCACAAUGGGCGGAAGCCUGAUGCAGCAACGCCGCGUGGGGGAUGACGGCCUUCGGGUUGUAAACUCCUUUCACCAUCGACGAAGGGUUUCUGACGGUAGAUGGAGAAGAAGCACCGGCUAACUACGUGCCAGCAGCCGCGGUAAUACGUAGGGUGCGAGCGUUGUCCGGAAUUACUGGGCGUAAAGAGCUCGUAGGUGGUUUGUCGCGUCGUCUGUGAAUUCCGGGGCUUAACUCCGGGCGUGCAGGCGAUACGGGCAUAACUUGAGUACUGUAGGGGAGACUGGAAUUCCUGGUGUAGCGGUGAAAUGCGCAGAUAUCAGGAGGAACACCGGUGGCGAAGGCGGGUCUCUGGGCAGUAACUGACGCUGAGGAGCGAAAGCAUGGGGAGCGAACAGGAUUAGAUACCCUGGUAGUCCAUGCCGUAAACGGUGGGCGCUAGGUGUGGGUUUCCUUCCACGGGAUCCGUGCCGUAGCUAACGCAUUAAGCGCCCCGCCUGGGGAGUACGGCCGCAAGGCUAAAACUCAAAGGAAUUGACGGGGGCCCGCACAAGCGGCGGAGCAUGUGGAUUAAUUCGAUGCAACGCGAAGAACCUUACCUGGGCUUGACAUAUACAGGAUCGCGCCAGAGAUGGUGUUUCCCUUGUGGCUUGUAUACAGGUGGUGCAUGGUUGUCGUCAGCUCGUGUCGUGAGAUGUUGGGUUAAGUCCCGCAACGAGCGCAACCCUUGUCUUAUGUUGCCAGCACGUUGUGGUGGGGACUCGUAAGAAACUGCCGGGGUUAACUCGGAGGAAGGUGGGGAUGACGUCAAAUCAUCAUGCCCCUUAUGUCCAGGGCUUCACACAUGCUACAAUGGUCGGUACAGUGGGUUGCCAGUCCGUGAGGGCGAGCUAAUCCCGCAAAGCCGGUCUCAGUUCGGAUCGGGGUCUGCAACUCGACCCCGUGAAGUCGGAGUCGCUAGUAAUCGCAGAUCAGCAACGCUGCGGUGAAUACGUUCCCGGGCCU